UACAGAGGUCUCAAGCGUUGUUCGGAUUCAUUGGGCGUAAAGGGUGCGUAGGCGGCGCGGUAAGUCGGGGUGUGAAAUCUCGGAGCUUAACUCCGAAACUGCAUUCGAUACUGCCGUGCUUGAGGACUGGAGAGGAGACUGGAAUUUACGGUGUAGCGGUGAAAUGCGUAGAUAUCGUAAGGAAGACCAGUGGCGAAGGCGGGGUCUCUGGACAGUUUCCUGACGCUGAGGCACGAAGGUCAGGGGAGCAAACGGG
RNAcentral lists this ribosomal RNA (256 nucleotides) under uncultured bacterium. RNAcentral describes it as "partial 16S ribosomal RNA". It matches the Rfam family "Bacterial small subunit ribosomal RNA", at positions 524 to 776 of the family's 1533-position model. The record is from RNAcentral.